CUGACUACUAGGGGGAAGGAUCUUUCCUGGAGAUGUGCUCCGCUGGAGUUAAGCCUAACAAGUGAGCCCAGGAUACAGACAUUUGUCCUUGCUGAGACUACAGCUGUGUGUGCCCCAUGCAGACCCACCACCGCAGACAUUUCCCCUGGAGGAAAAGAACUCAGCUUCACAGAAGGGUAACCUCUGCCACCUUCACGGUGAACUUACUAAGCUUUGCUCUGCCAGAAGAACAAUUAAAUGCUGACAUCCCUAUGUCACCCAAGUCAGAGUAUGAAGUAGAAAAGUAUGAAGUAGAAGAGGGGAAAAGAGCCUUGCCUUUCACACUGCUGGGGUUGUUUUUGCAGUACUGAAGACCACAGUGGGGCAACAAAGAGAGGCAUAGCAGAGACUGACUUAAAUAGUUUCAGCACCAGAAAGCAGAAGAAUGUUUCCAUGCUGCUUCAUUCUGACGUGAUUUGACAACCUCAUUUCACCCUAAUGUCACUGGAAAUCACAGUCCAAUUUGACUGUGGCAUAGUGUAAGAUAUAAAGAGACCUAUGUAUGUUUUGCAUGUUUUGCUUCAGAAUAGAACAGUUAACAUUUAUAGGCUUUGCCUAGUAUGGACUGCCUAGAGCACCAAAACUGCCUGCUAUGUCCCCUCCCAAUUAAAAGAAAAAUGGAUAGGUUUUACUAUUCCUGUGUUCUUUUGCCUUUUCACUUGGCUGAGCAUUACUGGAUGCUGUCUUUCUGUCAGUCACAUUUCAUCUUAUCUUUUUGCCUCUAGCCAUUUUGGUCCGCAAUUGAUUUUCUCACCACUUUAAGCAGAAACUGUGAGAUCUGUAUAUUGGCACAUUUCUCAGAGCUUUCUGCAGUAGUGGAAGCAGGCUGCAUCCUACAUGCAGCUGCUGAAUAUCUUUAUUUUCCUUUUGAAGGCAACGGAAGUUACACAUACUCAGUAAUUUCAGUGGAUACUGAGAAUUUUGCAUAAUCAAAUCCAUUUUUCAUGCUUCGAACAAUUAUUUCCAUGAAUGUGCAUGCAUAUAUACGUAUAAAUACAUACAAAUGUGUGCAGGCUUCUGUGUAUCCACAUUUAUACAUACACAAGUUCUCUGACUGGAAAAUUUUGCUUUAUAAGUAAGCUUCUCUCUUUGCCAUAGGAAAAAUAAUAAAAGCUAUUAGUCCUUUAAAAAAAAAAAAAACAAAAAACCUUAAGAAAACUGCAUUCCAAUCAUAUUCUGUGAGGGUUUUUUUGUUUUAAAUAGCUAAAAUAAUUUCUAAUUUAAUCUGUGAUGUGAAUAGAAUAAGCAAUUUCCAUGUUGUCCUUCAUGUGAAUAGCUCAGAGUCACAUGGCAGUCAUUAGAUUGCUCAGGUAAACUGUGCCUUAGACAACGGACACUCUUUUGCUUCAGUUACUACUGCAGCCCAAUCCCUUCUCUAAAAUUGUACUGUUUAUGGUUUCUCUUUGAUAAGUUAAAAAAGCUGUGGUGCUGCAGUAGGCUUCUAAGCUAGAACUGGAAAGGCAGAAAUAGACUUAUUUCCCUUCUUGGAUUGAAUUAAAUAGCCAGGACACUGCACUUUUACAGUCAACGUCAGGUUGCAUCCAUGCCUGUAUGCAAAUAAAGGGAUCUGUUCACGAAGAACUCUAAGGAAGUAGAUCUUGGAUUGAGUGAGAACUUCUGGUUUACAGACACUUAAAAAUCAUGACCACUUGAACUAGAGAAAAUAGGCAAUAACUUUUAUCUCUAUUUGAAUCUCACAAGAAUGUGUAGGUCAUAUCUGUGCAGAGUAUCAAAUGUGAGAGUGGCUCUUCAAGGACAUGAUAAGGCAUACACACAGUCUCUGGGUCUGAGACUAGCAGGACUAGCAGCAACUCAGAGUAACAGAGCAUCUCACUUGGACACACAUUUCAGAAGAGCAUUCAAAUAGUAGCCUUUAUGCAAAGAGUACCCUUAAGAUGAUGCCCCUGCUUCUUUGACUUAGCAAAUACAAGAUAGAAAAACAAGCAAAGAAUAUAUCUUCCCAUCAUUACACAGUGCAAACCGGUGUGUCAAACGCAAGUAAUUCACUAGAGGAAUCUUUCUGUUUCUCCAAUCAUUUUCAGUGGUUUUGCACUAGCUGGCAUACCGUGUAUCAAAUGAGUAGUGGUUGUGCCUUCAGCUUUCUUGAGCUUUCAUAGUCUGUCUCAUUUUUUCUGCCAGAAGCAGUUAUACCUCAUUCCAGCUCAGUGCUAUUUCAGACCUUCUAGCUACAGCAAUAAUGGCAAAAAGAGCAGUUCAUGGCUAAACCUGUAUGUGUGUAUGUUUGAAUCAGUAUCUGGGCAUGUAUGUAAAACAGACAUGGUAUGUGCGUCAGUACACACAUGUGUAUAGACAUUUCUUUCAGUUCCACAUACUGGUUGUGAAACUUGCAAAUAUCAGCAAUAAAACAGGCAGGAAUCUUUGCUAGUCUAGUGUGAAAAGAACAAUUUGAGUAGCUUUCAGAUGCCACUUGUAUCACUUAAAAAGACUGUUUUUAUGGUCUCCAGCAAGAAAUGUUCUCUAUAUUGGGUAGCUGAUUUAUCUGUGUACCACAGUUAAAUAGCACUCAUCCAGUUUAGAACGUUUUCUUAUGUGUAUGUUCUAGAUUUAUCAUUAUGGCAUGCAACACUGUCCUUCUAGUAGUAUUCUUCAGAGAAUGAGUGAAGAUUUCUGUGGGCAGCUAGAGAGCGUGUGGGGGAGGAUCAUUUCUGAAUACUGACUGGGUACAGAGUCUUAGCAAUGCCAAAGGGAAAAUACUCUUGCAUGCAGGGAAGAUUUGAUGAACAAAAUGUAUUUUGCUUGGCUUGACUCAAUGUCCCAUUCUUCAGUUCCACAUGUAACUGACUUCAUUUAUUUUGUUUACAAUUAAUACCAUGGAGUUGGGUUGGAGGGUGAUUAUUACACUGGUAGUACUGUGUAAACUUGCUCACCUUAACAUCUUGCUGUGUUGCAUUAGUUUCAAACAUUUUUUCCUGGUUAAGUAGCAGUACAGUUUUCUUGCAGUCAGAAUGCUCCCUGCAAUUGAUAUUAUUUCACAAUGGUCUUUUCUAGUUACAAUUACUCUGCUUACAGAAAUCUUA
This is a long non-coding RNA of Lagopus muta (rock ptarmigan), 3077 nucleotides long. RefSeq lists it as uncharacterized. The record is from RefSeq and is a predicted model, not a curated record. Lineage: Eukaryota; Metazoa; Chordata; Aves; Galliformes; Phasianidae. The transcript has 3 exons.